Long non-coding RNA from Gopherus evgoodei (Goodes thornscrub tortoise), 4085 nucleotides. RefSeq lists it as uncharacterized. NCBI's taxonomy places the organism in Eukaryota, Metazoa, Chordata, Testudines, Testudinidae. The transcript is spliced from 3 exons. The record is from RefSeq and is a predicted model, not a curated record.
CCUCACCUGUGGGAAGCGGAGCGACGCGGCCCCAGCCCUCUCCACUCUGCCACCUUCCAGCCAUGGUGCUCCGCUUCCAGCUGAAGCUAUGUCAACAGCAGAAGCUCUUCCAUCAACACAGUGCUAUCUACAGACAAGUAGCCAAGUGGCUCCAAAUAGACAUCCUGAAUGUGCCUCCUUCCUCCAAGGCUUUUACAGUGUCCAUCUUAUUUUGCUGAUUUCUCCAUGGUGUUCACAGCCAUCCUUCAAGUUCCUUCUUCUACAUAUCCUUUUGCUUCUUAAGGAGGAGUAACCCGCAUCUACUAUUCACACUAGAUUGGAGCAGACUCUACCCACCCCUGUGGAACUGAAUGGUUUGCAAAUAUGGAGAAUGAACACGAGUAUCACCAUAUGAAGUGCACAUGUUAAAAAGCUUAAGAAAAACAAUGCAUUUGGUGAGAAUAAAGUCAUGGUUUUUGACGCUUUUAGAAUAUAAAUAAGGUCAGGAGAAUUGCUUUUCAUUCAUUUUAUUGCAAGAUGGACUGCUUUUCUUGAAAGUAUGUAACAGGACAGAAAAAGAUGCUGAAUGUCUCAGUGUACAGACAGCUGUAGCUGAGACUGUUAUAAUAGGAACAGUUGUUAUACAGCAGAGUCCAUGAGACCAGACCAAGACAAGGGACCUAUAUAACAGAGGGCAAAAAACACCCAUCAACAGAUCACGAACAAAAGGCAUGAGUAUAGUUUUGGGAAUAAAUUGUGCCCAAGUUUGCUUGGAUAACUGGACACCUUCUCCCUAGAGUUAUCACACUAGAUAAAUAAACUUUUAAUUUUUAGUGGUGUUUAGAUGGAAAAGUAAUACACUAUUAAAAGUAGCAAGUAGAUCAAUUAAGCUGUGUAGCAGAACCAACCAACAGGGUAACAUAUUGCUGACCUUUCUUAAUAAUAAAUAAUUCAAUAGGAAGAAAAGCAGAAUUAAUGAAUGAGCAUUCCAAUAUAAACAAGCAUGCAUAAAUAGUGAAAAGUCAGUAAGGUUUCUACUGAAAAUCACAGGAACAAACCCCAAGUUGCUUGCACACAGCAACAGGAUUAUUUUAAGAGAAAAAACAAGGAGUCCUUGUGGCACCUUAGAGACAAAAAUUUAUUUGGGCAUAAGCUUUCAUGCGCUAAAACCUACUUCAUCAGAUGCAUGGAGGGGAAAAUAUAGUAGGCAGGUAUAAGAGAGAUUAAUUUGAUUGCAUGUCACAUGGCAUCAUUUUGGUUCUCUUGAAACAGUCCUGUCACUGUACGCUAACAACUUGGGCUAGUUCCUAUGAUUGAUAUUUGAAAAAAAACACUUAAGUGAUAAUGUCCAUAUUGCACCUAGUAGAAUAGGUUCUCCAGGUGGCUUACAAACAUUCAUUAAGCUCCCAACUCUGCCUCUACAGAGUGGGGUCCAUAUGGAUACAAAUUUUAGAAGGAGAAACUAAGACAUACGAAAGUUAACUUGUCUAAGUCACACAGUAAGUCUGCGGCAGAGUCAAAAAUAAACCCCAGAAGUUCUAGCUUUCAUUUUUAUGUUCUAAGCACCAGAGAAUAUUUUAUUUCAACUGAAGAGGUUAAUUUUUUACUUGUCACUCAGGCAGGGUACAUGACUCUGUGGAAAGCUGCACAAAUUCACAUGGAAAGCCGUAAUUGGGGAAUUAAUUUACAGAGAAAGAAGAGAGACAGUAAUUGUGAGACAUUUGAAGUGGCAAAAUUGUAGCAUACUAAAAGGAAAAACAUGGGGCUGGCAGAAGGUGUAAAUUGAAGUGUGAGGCAGUUUAUUUGAACUCACAGAACUUUACAACCUCAUUAGUGCUUUUCUUGCUACAUUCCUGUCUUUAGCCCCUCAGGAUGAGAGUUACAGCAGUGUAAGUGGGCCAAAUGCAGAGGGCAUGAAGAUGGUGGAUGAGAGUCUCAAGGCCAGAUUCUGAUACCCUUACUCACAAUGAGUAGUACCCUACUCCACACACAGUUCUGAAAUCAGUGGGACUAUUCACUGAGUAAAGUACUAUUCCCCCUGAGCAAGGGUAUCAGAAUCUGGUCCUAAAUUUGUAUGACAUGAGCAGCUGGCAAAAGGAGUAAGAUCUAAAUUACACUCAUUUAUUCAGCUUGGAAUCAGGCUCUUGCCAUCUAAACUGAGAUCACCUGCAUUUUUUCUGCUGGUUUUAUUCAGACUUACUCUGUGUACAGUAACUUCUUCUAGUUGUUUUGUUCAUAUUUACUCUGUUUAUCUGCAGAGGCAUCAAUAUGUAGAAGUUCCAUAGAGUGAAAGUUCCAACAACACAAAACACAACGAAUUAAUGUACUGUAUUGUGGGACUGGAAGCACUGGCUCAGAAAGCACAGUGGCCAUUUAGCAACACCAGCAGACAAUGAAGUUAUUGUAAUAUGUGGCAUUUUUGUAUGUAGGAUGAAACAUUUGUUAUAUCUUUAGGGUCUUGAUUUUUUCUUUUCUGCUGCUGGCUUCUAUUCAAAGUGCAAAGGAAAGACUCCAGUCAAUUUCAUGGGGCCUUGGAUCAGGGCCUUCAAGAGGGCUUAUGUCCUGAACUAAGUGACAAUGCAUAAUUGUGCUGCACCAGGAGCCACCCAGGAAGAAAACUGAGUCUGGAGAAUCACACUCUCAAUUUCACCCCUGCGCUGGGGAGAAGAUACAAUGUCUUGGAUCUAAACCCUGCACAUCUUAUGCAAUCUGCAGGAGAGCACUAAUUCUGCAAAGCCUGAUUCCCUCCCUGUCCCCUAUGCUGUGAUCUGUAGUAUGAGUUACUCACACAAGAGAAUAAGAGAGAACCUUAAGUUCCUUUGCAUUGUCACAUAGGAUUAGUGCUGAUCUAGCUUUUAUGAAAUUCAGCUUUCUGUGUUAAGUCAUUAGAAACGGCAUCUGCUAUUUUUCUUAGCAAUGCAGUAACAGGCAGCAGUGCAGAAUGUAGAUGCAUUAACAGCAGCUGUCAUAGGGUAGGCUGCCUCCCAAGCACUACCGCCUGGCCUGAGAUCACUCUAUAAGUAGCCUGCCUCAGUUUCCCCCUUCAAACUCCCCAAUUAACUCCACAAAGGUUUCCUUCUGUGCAAAAAGCCCUCCCCUUAGGGUUGGGUUUCUUAACAUAGAAGUAAAUUCAGAACAAAAUUCAAAGUCCCGAAAAUAAAGUCCACAAAGUCCAACUCAAUUUACUAGGCCACUCUCAGCCAGAGCUGGCUGGAGUUUUGCUCCUCUGUUAUUCAAAUCUGUCCUGAAGCCCUCUUGUCUCUGCAGCAUGCAGGAAUGUUCUUACUCUCCACAGCUUCCUGGUCCCAGAUUUCUCUAAGAGGUCCAUUCCACACUGGUGUCUUGAGAGGCCCCCUCUUCUCUGCAACUUCCUGCUGCUCUUUCUAAGGAUCAGCUGCCCUCUAUGAGACCCUAUCACAAGGCUGUUAAUAAGACACAAGUAUACUGGACAAAUGCCCUCUUUAAGGGUCCAGUCCACCGUGUGGCACAAACUGACUAUAAGGAGCAAGGAAUCCUUUUGUUGACAUGGUUAUCAGAAAUAUUUUUUAUUUUGAACUAGUAUAAGAACUAGUUCAUUGCAAGUGGGAAAAGGGGUGAAACAAUUGCAGUUUAUCAAGUAAAAUAUUAUGCUGAGUAAUAGUUUCUCCACAACUGGUCAAAGAAACAGCUUUAUUUCCUUUUUUUUAAAAGUGAUUUUUAUGAGUUAGGGGAAAGAUGUUGGGUUGACAGCAGCAGAUAACAGAUUAUCCACAGAGCACAUACAGUAUGGGAAGUGCAGUCUGAGUUCCCCAUAUAAACUCAGCAAUGUGUUUUAAACCUGACCUGGAGAGAGCUUCUGUUGCAAGGCUGAGCUGUACCUUUGUCCUCUCUCAACCUCUCUGCACAUACCCCUUCCAAAUGACAGGUCUAUACUGAUGCUUCUCUGAAUGGAAACCUGCACCUCACCCCACUUUUAGACUGAACUGACCAGGCUACAGCACUCCCUUUCUACCAACUGUAUUUAGAGCUGUCUGGAAACUGGAAUUCCCAUUCUGUGGAAAAUUAUGAAAUAAAAAAAACCCAAAAUGGAACAAAAAAUGAAAUUCCAAAAUUUCUCAUGGAAUUGG